GGGCGCAAGCCUGAUGCAGCCAUGCCGCGUGUGUGAAGAAGGCCUUCGGGUUGUAAAGCACUUUCAGUAAGGAGGAAAGGUUAAGUGUUAAUAGCACUUAGCUGUGACGUUACUUACAGAAGAAGCACCGGCUAACUCCGUGCCAGCAGCCGCGGUAAUACGGAGGGUGCGAGCGUUAAUCGGAAUUACUGGGCGUAAAGCGUACGCAGGCGGUUUGUUAAGCGAGAUGUGAAAGCCCCGGGCUCAACCUGGGAACUGCAUUUCGAACUGGCAAACUAGAGUGUGAUAGAGGGUGGUAGAAUUUCAGGUGUAGCGGUGAAAUGCGUAGAGAUCUGAAGGAAUACCGAUGGCGAAGGCAGCCACCUGGGUCAACACUGACGCUCAUGUACGAAAGCGUGGGGAGCAAACAGGAUUAGAUACCCUGGUAGUCCACGCCGUAAACGAUGUCUACUAGAAGCUCGGGUCUUCGGACUUGUUUUUCAAAGCUAACGCAUUAAGUAGACCGCCUGGGGAGUACGGCCGCAAGGUUA
Molecule: ribosomal RNA, 530 nt
Filed under: uncultured Gammaproteobacteria bacterium
Lineage: Bacteria; Pseudomonadati; Pseudomonadota; Gammaproteobacteria
Description: bacterial SSU rRNA
Rfam family: Bacterial small subunit ribosomal RNA
Source: RNAcentral